GUGGGGAAUCUUAGACAAUGGGCGCAAGCCUGAUCUAGCCAUGCCGCGUGAGCGAUGAAGGCCUUAGGGUUGUAAAGCUCUUUCAGUGGGGAAGAUAAUGACUGUACCCACAGAAGAAGCCCCGGCUAACUCCGUGCCAGCAGCCGCGGUAAUACGGAGGGGGCUAGCGUUGUUCGGAAUUACUGGGCGUAAAGCGCACGUAGGCGGACUGGAAAGUCAGGGGUGAAAUCCCGGGGCUCAACCCCGGAACUGCCUUUGAAACUCCCAGUCUUGAGGUCGAGAGAGGUGAGUGGAAUUCCGAGUGUAGAGGUGAAAUUCGUAGAUAUUCGGAGGAACACCAGUGGCGAAGGCGGCUCACUGGCUCGAUACUGACGCUGAGGUGCGAAAGCGUGGGGAGCAAACAGGAUUAGAUACCCGGGUAGUCC
This 425-nucleotide ribosomal RNA is filed under the name uncultured bacterium. Its description in RNAcentral is "partial 16S ribosomal RNA". It matches the Rfam family "Bacterial small subunit ribosomal RNA", at positions 354 to 796 of the family's 1533-position model. The record is from RNAcentral.